UACGUAGGGUCCAAGCGUUAUCCGGAAUCACUGGGCGUAAAGCGUGCGUAGGUGGAUUGUUAAGUGCGAUGCGAAAUCCUGUGGCUCAACCAUAUGGACUGUAUCGCAUACUGGCUAUCUAGAGGACAUGAGAGGCAAGUGGAAUUACGAGUGUAGCGGUAAAAUGCGUAGAUAUUCGUAGGAACACCAAUGGCGAAGGCAGCUUGCUGGCAUGUAUCUGACGCUAAGGCACGAAAGCGUGGGGAGCGAACAGG
Molecule: ribosomal RNA, 254 nt
Filed under: uncultured bacterium
Lineage: Bacteria
Description: partial 16S ribosomal RNA
Rfam family: Bacterial small subunit ribosomal RNA
Source: RNAcentral